AAUCAACGCUGGCGGCGUGCCUAACACAUGCAAGUCGAACGCGAAAGCCCCGCAAGGGUAAGUAGAGUGGCAAACGGUAGAGUAACACGUGGGUGACCUGCCUUAGAGUGGGGGAGUAACGUCCCGAAAGGGACGCUAAUACCGCAUAACAUCCUGCCUUUGAAGAGGUGGAGAUCAAAGCCGGGGACCGCAAGGCCUGGCGCUCAAAGAGGGGCCCGCGCCUGAUUAGCUAGUUGGUGAGGUAAGGCUCACCAAGGCAACGAUCAGUAUCCGGCCUGAGAGGGCGGACGGACACACUGGGACUGAGGCACGGCCCAGACUCCUACGGGAGGCAGCAGUGGGGAAUUGUUCGCAAUGGGCGCAAGCCUGACGGAGCGACGCCGCGUGUGGGAAGAAGGCCUCGGUCGUAACACU
Molecule: ribosomal RNA, 414 nt
Filed under: uncultured bacterium
Lineage: Bacteria
Description: bacterial SSU rRNA
Rfam family: Bacterial small subunit ribosomal RNA
Source: RNAcentral